GAUUUGUUCAGCAGCCACACCUGUUCCAUGUGUGGAGGCGACCAAGCAAGACAGUGGCAGGAGGCACACCACAGUUUCUUGGUUCUACUUGGAGAGACAAGGCAGCUCCAUGCUAAGAAUACUGACCACUAGGAAUAUCAAAACCUCAGUUCCAGGAGCUGUUCCAGAAGCAGAAACCCUCUCAGCCUUGAUUUUGGAUCCAGCUCAGGACCGUUGUGCUUAAGAUUCAUUGUUAUUGUGGCUUAUCAUCACAUCUGUUUCUAACCUCAUUAGGGCCAUCAUUCUUGGAAAGUCAUCCAGUUCAUCAAUAUCCUUUAACACUGUUUGGAUUUGUGGGUGUUCAUUCAAGCAGGAAGGGAGGCCUAUGGAGCUUAUACAGGUUGGGAAGACGACAGUCAACAAAAAUUUGUGGACCAGGGAUACAGUAUGAAUCAGUGAAAAACAUACUGAGUUAAAGCUUGAAUGGACUUUUGGCUUUAUCACUAACCAUGUGUGAAACAGAAUAUUAAAUACCCUCUCUG
This 521-nucleotide long non-coding RNA is filed under the name Homo sapiens (human). RNAcentral describes it as "HSALNT0167948". The record is from RNAcentral. Lineage: Eukaryota; Metazoa; Chordata; Mammalia; Primates; Hominidae.